UACCAUAUUAUUAUAAUAUUAUUUAGUAGUAAAAUAGCCAAAUCGAGGGAGUCAACAUGAUUGUCAAAGGAACAACAUGUCAGUUAGGGCCAGUGGGCCACACUGAAAGUGACGUAAGAAAUCGAAAAAUACAAAAUUUGUGCCCCCUUCUCCCCUAGGCUCAGUGCGGUGGCACGGCCUGCACUACCCUAGGGCGGGGCUUUCUUAGACCCUUAGCCACUCAAAUAUGAAUUAUGUCAUCAAAUGUGUUUCUGACUUAUGUAAAUCAAAAAGUCGAUCAACGUCUUAGUAGGUAUUGUUAAAGAUCAUGAAAAUCGAGACAUCGGUCUUUAGUCAUAAAACACAUUACUACACAUCACUUUUGUUUGAGGGUAAAUUUACACCCCUUAAAUUUGUAGCGUGUUGAACCAAUUAUGUGGUUCGUCGUGGAUAUGAUCGAGUAUCUUUAGAGAUAUUCGGUAUCGAGACUAUAUCAAGCCUACCUCGGUGUAAAUCCUGGUUAUUAUCGAAAUAUCAUAAAUCCGGUAAUUAAUGGAGGAUUGUUUGGUUACCAUGAUUGAGCUAUUCAUGGAAAAUCUUACAUAAAAGGAGGAAUCUCGACGUAAGAAGUAAGUUGAGUUACCUUGGCAAUUCAGGUGUGAAGUCUAUAAAGAAGGUUGGUCAACCUUGGUCUUAAACGUGCAUGACAUGGUACCCGAGUGUUUGAUUAUAUAAGGAUUACCAUCCUUAAUUAAAUUGCAUAAGGAGAUUACACUCCUUAACGACAUUUGAAUGCAUGAGGUAGUGCAUGACGUCCAGAAGCAUGCAAGGGUGGGGUACAAUUACAUUGCCUUAAGGAUUCAUUCCUUAUAUGGAUUAUACACUUAUUACAUGAGGUAUGCAUCGAAACUGAAAUUGCAGUAAGGUACAUGAUUAAGCGGUUCCUUCCUAAAUAUCUGAAUCGUUGAGGAGUGUGUGUUUUGUUGUACGUCAUACCAUGAUAUACAGGUUGUUCAGUGAUGAUGCGUAAUUAUAUAUAUGGACGAGGCACCAGUACCAUAUUUCUUGGCAUACCGCAUGUGUCAUAAAUCAGUGGAGACUUGCAAACAUUGAAUAAACGCAUGC
This 1104-nucleotide long non-coding RNA is filed under the name Fragaria vesca (wild strawberry). RNAcentral's name for it is "long non-coding RNA (FVES_LNC004826)". Lineage: Eukaryota; Viridiplantae; Streptophyta; Magnoliopsida; Rosales; Rosaceae. The record is from RNAcentral.